This 109-nucleotide microRNA precursor is filed under the name Ornithorhynchus anatinus (platypus). Its description in RNAcentral is "microRNA oan-mir-1345 precursor". The record is from miRBase by way of RNAcentral. Lineage: Eukaryota; Metazoa; Chordata; Mammalia; Monotremata; Ornithorhynchidae.
GCGCCAACGCUCAGUCGGGGGCGGGAGGGCCGAGGAGCAGGACGUGUGUUGGCGCGCGCGCGCUCUCUCUUUGCCGACCGCCGUCGCCGCCGCGCGACUUAUUGGACGC